CCCUUAGACGUUCUGGGCCGCACGCGCGCUACACUGACGAAGGCAACGAGCUUUCCUUUACCGAAAGGUACGGGUAAUCUUUUGAAACUUCGUCGUGCUGGGGAUAGAUCCUUGCAAUUUUUGAUCUUAAACGAGGAAUGCCUAGUAAGCGCAAGUCAUCAACUUGCGUUGAUUACGUCCCUGCCCUUUGUACACACCGUCCGUCGCUACUACCGAUUGAAUGGUUUAGUGAGGCCUUCGGAUCCGCGACUCGUUUGUGGAGAAGUUGGACAAACUCAGUCAUUUAGAGGAAGUAAAAGUCGUAACA
RNAcentral lists this ribosomal RNA (307 nucleotides) under uncultured eukaryote. Its description in RNAcentral is "partial 18S ribosomal RNA". It matches the Rfam family "Eukaryotic small subunit ribosomal RNA", at positions 1470 to 1796 of the family's 1831-position model. The record is from RNAcentral.